CUUGAUUAAAUGGAACGUGUAUCAUUUCCUAGCCAUUAUUCGGAUAUAUUUAUUAUAUCUUAUGGUAUUGGGUUUUGAUGAAAGCUUCUUGAUCAAAGUAUCACGAGUUUGUUAUAUAAUCGCAAACAAAUUUUUUAAUGAGAGAGUGCAUUUAUGUACUUUUGAUUUAAUAAUUUGGUAUAACUCCAAUUACUCAGGUAUGAUCCAAUUCAAG
Molecule: ribosomal RNA, 214 nt
Filed under: Drosophila phalerata
Lineage: Eukaryota; Metazoa; Arthropoda; Insecta; Diptera; Drosophilidae
Description: 28S rRNA
Source: RNAcentral